GACAUGGAUAAACUAAAAAAAAAUUGAAACAAAAUUUCUAUCCUUUAUGUUGUUCCCACUUCAAAAAAUAAUAAUAAUUCCUGGUGUCACAAGGCCAUUUCCUUCAAGACAUGGGUGCCUGUGACAAAUUACAAAAGAAGCUAUUCCUCUUUAGCCUCAUCUUUCUUUGUGCUACAUGCUUUUAAAACUCUCAACGCACAAAUGGGACAUUCAAGAAGGGAAAAAACUUGUUUCAGACAUCUGUGCAAUAAGGGACCAUCAAAUCGGCUGUCAUAACAAUUAUGUAUAAACUACUAGAAUUUUAACUGCCUCUCUGGCAUUACAAGCAUCAAACCUUUUAUUCCUUAUUUAGGACAUGGUGCCAGUGGAU
RNAcentral lists this long non-coding RNA (370 nucleotides) under Bos taurus (domestic cattle). Its description in RNAcentral is "long non-coding RNA NONBTAT000727". Lineage: Eukaryota; Metazoa; Chordata; Mammalia; Artiodactyla; Bovidae. The record is from RNAcentral.